RNAcentral lists this ribosomal RNA (116 nucleotides) under Propithecus coquereli (Coquerel's sifaka). The record is from RNAcentral. Lineage: Eukaryota; Metazoa; Chordata; Mammalia; Primates; Indriidae.
UUUAGUGCACAACGCCCUGAACGCGCCCGAUCCCGUCUGACCUCGGAAGCUAAGCAGGGUCGGGCCCGGUCAGUACUUGGAUGGGGGAUCAUUACACUUUUUAAGUCAUACCAUAG